This 600-nucleotide ribosomal RNA is filed under the name Chaetothyriales sp. AR-2010. RNAcentral's name for it is "eukaryotic LSU rRNA". The stretch from base 197 to 350 matches the Rfam family "5.8S ribosomal RNA". Lineage: Eukaryota; Fungi; Ascomycota; Eurotiomycetes; Chaetothyriales. The record is from RNAcentral.
GGAAGUAAAAGUCGUAACAAGGUCUCCGUUGGUGAACCAGCGGAGGGAUCAUUAUCGAGUUAUUCAACUCCCAAACCCUAUGUGAACUUACCACUUGUUGCUUCGGCGCGCGCUUCGGCGCCGCCGAGGACACUUAAACUCUUUGUUUUUAUAAGCAUUUCUGAGUGGCCGAAAGGCAAAAAUACAAAUGAAUCAAAACUUUCAACAACGGAUCUCUUGGUUCUGGCAUCGAUGAAGAACGCAGCGAAAUGCGAUAAGUAAUGUGAAUUGCAGAAUUCAGUGAAUCAUCGAAUCUUUGAACGCACAUUGCGCCCGCCAGCAUUCUGGCGGGCAUGCCUGUUCGAGCGUCAUUUCAACCCUCGAGCCCGACUCUUUUGAGGACGGCUCGGCGUUGGGGGACGGCAGACUCCCCCCGGCAUCUCGCCGGGGACGCCGCCCCCGAAAUCUAGUGGCGGCCCUCCGAGGCGACCUCUGCGUAGUAACUUGUUCUCGCACCGGAAAGCUCAGAGCGGCCACGCCGUAAAACCCCAACUUUUUUCAGGUUGACCUCGAAUCAGGUAGGACUACCCGCUGAACUUAAGCAUAUCAAUAAGCGGAGGA